Non-coding RNA from Parelaphostrongylus tenuis, 73 nucleotides. The record is from the annotation of a GenBank genome assembly. Lineage: Eukaryota; Metazoa; Nematoda; Chromadorea; Rhabditida; Metastrongylidae.
GCGUCGGUGGUGCAACGAUUAAGCACAUACUCCCGGAAAUAUUAAAGUCUGGGUUCAAAUCCCGGCUGUCGCG